This 253-nucleotide ribosomal RNA is filed under the name uncultured bacterium. Its description in RNAcentral is "partial 16S ribosomal RNA". It matches the Rfam family "Bacterial small subunit ribosomal RNA", at positions 524 to 776 of the family's 1533-position model. The record is from RNAcentral.
UACAGAGGGGGCGAGCGUUGUUCGGAAUCACUGGGCGUAAAGCGCACGUAGGCGGAUGUGUCAGUCAGGGGUGAAAUCCCGGAGCUCAACUUCGGAACUGCCUUUGAUACAGCACGUCUUGAGUCCGGAAGAGGUGGGUGGAAUUCCUAGUGUAGAGGUGAAAUUCGUAGAUAUUAGGAAGAACACCGGUGGCGAAGGCGGCCCACUGGUCCGGUACUGACGCUGAGGUGCGAAAGCGUGGGGAGCAAACAGG